GAUACCUCUCUGUUGGAGGUUCAGGUGUGUUUAAUCAGAGUGAUACCUCUCUGUUGUUGGUUCAGGUGUGUUUAAUCAGAGUGAUACCUCUCUGUUGUUGGUUCAGGUGUGUUUAAUCAGAGUGAUACCUCUCUGUUGUUGGUUCAGGUGAGUUUAAUCAGAGUGAUACCUCUCUGUUGUUGGUUCAGGUGUGUUUAAUCAGAGUGAUACCUCUCUGUUGUUGGUUCAGGUGUAUUUAAUCAGAGUGAUACCUCUCUGUUGUUGGUUCAGGUGUGUUUAAUCAGAGUGAUACCUCUCUGUUGUUGGUUCAGGUGUGUUUAAUCAGAGUGAUACCUCUCUGUUGGAGGUUCAGGUGUGUUUAAUCAGAGUGAUACCUCUCUGUUGGAGGUUCAGGUGUGUUUAAUCAGAGUGAUACCUCUCUGUUGUUGGUUCAGGUGUGUUUAAUCAGAGUGAUACCUCUCUGUUGUUGGUUCAGGUGUAUUUAAUCAGAGUGAUACCUCUCUGUUGUUGGUUCAGGUGUGUUUAAUCAGAGUGAUACCUCUCUGUUGUAGGCGUUCUCGGAGCUGCAGGUGAAGAUGAUCGACACGCAGCAGAAGGUGAAGUUGGCCGACCUGCAGAUCGAUCAGCUGACUCGGGUUCAGAAACAUGCUAAGCUAACUCACGCAGAGAUCGGCGUGCUGCCGGACAACACGCGACUCUACGAGGGAGUUGGACGCAUGUUCAUUCUUCAGUCGAAGGAGGAAAUCAACAAUCAGCUGACAGACAAACAGAAAACAGCUGAUGAGAAAAUUAAAGAACUUGAGGUACAAAAACACUCUGAAACCUUACCUGUCCAGGUGUGUGUGGGCGUGCUACCUGUCCAGGUGUGUGUGUGUGGGCGCGCUACCUGUCCAGGUGUGUGUGUGUGUGUGGGCGCGCUACCUGUCCAGGUGUGUGUGUGUGUGUGUGUGUGGGCGCGCUACCUGUCCAGGUGUGUGUGUGUGUGUGUGGGCGCGCUACCUGUCCAGGUGUGUGUGUGUGUGUGUGUGUGCGCGCUACCUGUCCAGGUGUGUGUGUGUGUGUGUGUGCGCGCUACCUGUCCAGGUGUGUGUGUGUGUGUGUGCGCGCUACCUGUCCAGGUGUGUGUGUGUGUGUGUGUGCGCGCUACCUGUCCAGGUGUGUGUGUGUGUGUGUGUGCGCGCUACCUGUCCAGGUGUGUGUGUGUGUGUGUGUGUGUGCGCGCUACCUGUCCAGGUGUGUGUGUGUGUGUGUGCGCGCUACCUGUCCAGGUGUGUGUGUGUGGGGCGCGCUACCUGUCCAGGUGUGUGUGUGGGCGCGCGCGCUACCUGUCCAGGUGUAUCAGUGGUCUGACUGUGUGUUGUGUGAUUUCCAGCAGAAGAAGGUGUACCUUGAACGCAGCGUGAAAGAAGCAGAAGACAACAUCCGAGAGAUGCUGCUGUCCAGGAGAGCUCAGUGAUCAUCUGUAAUCAAUAACUCAUCUAUACUCAAUAAUCAAUGUAUGUGUUUAGAGUUUGUUCAUAUUAAAAUGUUGAACCUUCA
This is an RNA transcript of Dicentrarchus labrax (European seabass), 1539 nucleotides long. It is a transcript of the gene named prefoldin subunit 1, with no coding region annotated. The record is from RefSeq and is a predicted model, not a curated record. Lineage: Eukaryota; Metazoa; Chordata; Actinopteri; Moronidae. The transcript is spliced from 7 exons.